CCUACGGGGGGCUGCAGUGGGGAAUAUUGGACAAUGGGCGAAAGCCUGAUCCAGCCAUGCCGCGUGUGUGAAGAAGGCCUUCGGGUUGUAAAGCACUUUCAGUGGGGAAGAAAGCCUUGGGGCUAAUACCCUCGAGGAAGGACAUCACCCACAGAAGAAGCACCGGCUAACUCCGUGCCAGCAGCCGCGGUAAUACGGAGGGUGCGAGCGUUAAUCGGAAUUACUGGGCGUAAAGCGCGCGUAGGCGGUCUGAUAAGCCGGUUGUGAAAGCCCCGGGCUCAACCUGGGAACGGCAUCCGGAACGGUCAGGCUAGAGUGCAGGAGAGGAAGGUAGAAUUCCCGGUGUAGCGGUGAAAUGCGUAGAGAUCGGGAGGAAUACCAGUGGCGAAGGCGGCCUUCUGGACUGACACUGACGCUGAGGUGCGAAAGCGUGGGUAGCAAACAGGAUUAGAUCCCCGUGUAGUC
RNAcentral lists this ribosomal RNA (465 nucleotides) under Vreelandella stevensii. Its description in RNAcentral is "partial 16S ribosomal RNA". It matches the Rfam family "Bacterial small subunit ribosomal RNA", at positions 338 to 795 of the family's 1533-position model. Lineage: Bacteria; Pseudomonadati; Pseudomonadota; Gammaproteobacteria; Oceanospirillales; Halomonadaceae. The record is from RNAcentral.